Non-coding RNA from Danio rerio (zebrafish), 2105 nucleotides. NCBI's taxonomy places the organism in Eukaryota, Metazoa, Chordata, Actinopteri, Cypriniformes, Danionidae. The record is from RefSeq and is a predicted model, not a curated record.
UGGUAUUUUUGUCAUGAAUUGUGUGUCUGCCACCUGGCGAUAAAAUACAUCAGUUUACAGGCAUUAAAUAAAGUAAUUUCGGUCGUCUUUAUAACAUGAUAAAUUCUGACCAUGACGUUGCUGGAUUCUGCUUCAGCUGCUGCUCGCUUCUCAUGUCUGCUUAACCAGGUAAGUUUAGCCUUUCAAAUAUGAGUUAAUAGUUGAGUUCUGUAUUAAAUUAGAAAUAAAUAGUUGAGAAUUGAUCUGUGUUCAGUUACACCCAUUGUAGUGAUUCGCUUGAAUCAUGAGUGAGCAGUAAACUGGCGACUUAGGCGAUCUAUUUAAACUCAUGUAAUUUGGUGUUAAUUAGAUGUAUCAUGUUUGUUUGUUGCUGUUUAUGUGAUCAACGUACGCAAUGACAGGUGUAUUUAACGUUACUGCAAAGGAAAAAUAUUUGAAUAGCAGCAGAUCUGAUGUAAUACGCUCUAGUCUAAACUAUCGUUACGUGAUGAAUUAUUGUCGAUCUCACAAACAAUUUAAUAUAUAUAUUUAUAUAAUGAAAGUGUGCUUUUCAUAUUGAGUUAAUCAUAUUGCCCUAACGCUAACGUUUAAACUUUGAAAAAAUAGAUUAACCCAUUACUAAUAUUGUCACAACUUGUCAAUGACAUGAGUGUAUCAACAGUUUAUCAAUUUAACAUGUUAAUCAACUUCUCUUCACACCUCUGUGUUAUUUGACUGAAUUAUUUUUUGUCUCACUUUUUAUCCUGUGUUAUCAGAUUAUUGGUUCUGCACUGACUCGUUGUUAGUCUUUGCUUGCUGAAAAAAAAAUGACAUCAUCUUUUUAAACUUUGUGUUUAUGCUAUUAACAUACUUCUUUGCAGUAUUGGAUGCCAUCUAGUCCUGAUUGCAUUUUGACUCCAGUUCCAGUCCAGCACAGUUAUACCUGCCGAUCAACAACCUAAAGCUAUCAAGCAGAUGUGUGGGCAGCUGUGAGCCAAACUCUUAGGAACAUUGGUUUUCCAGGAUGAGGACUGGUCAUCACUCCAAUGGAGAUACAAAAAGCAGCUUGGACACAGCAUCCAAAGUGGACACUUCUUGCAAGACACAGGGUGAUGGAAAGAGCAGAAGAUCAGUGAUCAGGGGAAGCUUGCUUGUACAAAAAGUGUAGAAUGAUGCUGAGUCGUCAAGAAAAGUCACAGAAGAGCUGAAGCCAACUGAGCAGAACACAGAAGUGGGGGGUCAAGGCUAUUGCUCUUAUGGACAGAGCCCUUCAUGUACUGUAUGUCAACAGAAGUGCCGGCCGCUUGUGCUUUCACUUCAGUUAACAGUUGUUUAUUUCUCUGAGUCCUGGAAGUCCUGCUUUAAGUUUGUAGCAUUCUGUUUAGUUUUAUCUGUGAGGACAGAAGUAAGACAGGUUCUCAGUCUUCUACCACAGAGUCAUUGUGUUUGAUCUAGACUGGCUCAUCACUAAUGCCUGAAGCACAUCUGACUCGUGUUUCUGAAAGGGUUCAAAUAAAUUCAACCCAACACAGAAAACAUUUACACAGUGAUGUAGCCCAGAUCAGUGAGGCCUGCUGGCCAUGUUAGUGGAUGUAAACUAAACACUGCAUUUGUCCCAGCCCUUGCCUCUUGGAUUUCUUGAAGCAGUAAGUGAAUGAGGCUAUAAGAGAUUCACAUGUGAUUUAACAGUCAGAGGAAUGAUUGUGGAACUGUGGAGCAUUAUUUACACAUGCAUAAAUGUGUGGUGGGAAAGAAGAAGAACUGGGAGAACUUUCAACAUUUCUGUCACAAACCAAAGCUAUCUGUCAUAUACCCGAGGCACUUCUCUGAAAUUGCAUGAAGAAACAAAUAAAUAAAAUGCACACAGUGUCUACAUUUUUUUCAGUAUUACAACUAUUUAUUCGAGUUCUUUUCUUGUGAUAAAUACAAAUAAAAUAAAAAAUACAAUUUUUUUUUCAUAAAAAACAGGCUACAAAGGUUUGUCCCUCAAUAUAAACUCAACCCUAUUACGCUAGCAUUGUUCCACCUAUAGCAAUUUAUUUGUAUUAUUACAUCACAGACAGGAAGUGACAUCAUUCAGCUCUUUUUAACAGCACGGUGCAAAAGAAGGCAAGAUAUAUUUUCAU